Molecule: long non-coding RNA, 1138 nt
Filed under: Citrus x clementina
Lineage: Eukaryota; Viridiplantae; Streptophyta; Magnoliopsida; Sapindales; Rutaceae
Description: Citrus clementina (C. clementina) long non-coding RNA (CCLE_LNC006565)
Source: RNAcentral
AUUUAGAAUAAUUUAUUUUUCUUUUCUUAUUUCUUACUGUUAAGAAUUUUCAUACCUAGGAUUGUUUCAAAUUACAAUUUAAAACAUGUGUAAUUUAACUUAAUGAUUAACAUUCAAAAAUAUAUCACUCAAAAAACUUUUUAAUUUAUUUGUAAGAUAACAACAAGAUUAUAAAAAAGAGAGCAUAAUAUUAGAUGGAGUUUUAACAAUAAAAAUUAAGUUAAAAAAUAAAAGAGUGAAUUUUAAAAAAAGAACGCUUUUGGAAUUAAAAAAAAUUAACUAAAAAAAGAGUUUUAUGGGGAGAUAUUGUUACACCGGCCGAAUGUAAUAAGCCGACGAUGGAGCUUCAGCCAUGUUUCUGAAAGGCCAAAGAGCAGUGAAAUUAGACGUUUAAGAAAAUGCUAUUUUCACGCAAUGCAAAAUAAGAUAUUCGAAUUAACGGACGAAGUAAUCGUUUCUCGUUCGUCCACAUAUGCCAGCAUCUCCAAAUGGAUUCCUAAGCCAGGGUCACCUUGCAUGAGUCAUGACAGCCAAUAACUCCGGGUGAAAUGCAUCAGCCAUCAAGCUUGACGGAUUAAAAAAUUCAUAUUCCUGUCGUAGCAUUUUAUGGAAGUUAUUGUUGAACCCUGAGGAACAGAAAGUAGAAUGGGAAGCCUAAAAUGGCACGCAGGGGCCACGGGUUUUGCUGGGCGGGCCCAUGGGCCUAUAUUUCUGUUAAAUCACCAAGUGAAACUAUUGGCACCUCCUUCCAUUGUGUUUGAGACCCCAAUGUCGGCGUGGUUCUCACAGACGGUCUUAAAAAAUGAAAAAUUGUUUUUCUAAAUCAUUCUCUAAUCCAAAUCCAAGUAAAAUGAGUAAAUUUUUCAAGGAGAAAAAUAAAUUGAGCAAUGGUUAUUCAUGAUGCUCAAAGAUUCAUGCUCAAUCAAAAAGACGAAAAGUUAAAAAAAAAAAAUCUCAUCCCAUGAACUGAGUGCGGAAUUUUUGGGUUGCUUGCUCUUAUUGUUUAAUUUCUUUAAAUAUAUUUGCUUAUUGAUGGCAUAAAAUAAAUUUGAUUAGCUAGAAGCUCGUCCUGUAAAUUCAACGCUGGAAUGUAAUCAUCGAAUAAUAAAGUGUCCGAAGUGUAAAGUGUUGGGAUUAU